CGUUUAAAAACGACGGCAAAUGUAUGUCAGCUUUACCUUUUUCCCUCUUAUCUACGUUUUUUUUUUUGUUUGAUUUUUGUGUGUGUGUGUGUGUGUAGCUGCUGGGCUCCAUACGCCAGCGAAAGACGUACAGAGAGAGCGUGCCUAGUGGCCGUGUUGCCCCCUCUGUUUUGAAUUUUUCUAGAUACUCAUUCAAGACAUCUAGCGGCUACUAUCGAACGUCUCACCGGAUUGAUCCACAACAAAAAGGGGGAAAAAAAGUUGGAAAUUUUUUGGUUCUUUUCUCUUCCUAAUCUGGAAAUCUCGAAUACGGGAAGAAUGAAAACAACAGAAACCCCGUUUUAAGAAGAUGAGAAAAAAAAAACUAGAGCCAUAUGCGGAAUGCGACAUGAAUAACUGCGUAAAUCUUGGACUGGGAAAAUGCAAGCCCGUGGGUUGCUACAGACAAUGCAAUGCAAACUUGCUUCAUCAAGAGUGGGACGAAAGUGAAUUGUGACGUAAUUGCUCUCACCUGUUGGGGAAUGGUUACGGUCCAGAUCUUGAGGAUUCCAUUUCGCUGUUGCUGGCUGGAUUGAUGCACUCAAUUUCACCUGCACUCCCACCUAAAGAAUUUGGAAUUUGUUUUCGACACAGGGUGUGUGUCUGUUGGUGUGAGUGGUUUUCGGCACCUCACAACAUGAAGAGGGGGACUAGGAGGAGGGAGGACAAGGACAUUGGAAUGCGUGCGUGCGUAUGUGAUUGGCUAAAAUUAGCUAGUCGAACUUAAUAACUAAAGGAAGAGAACCUUUCGGUGGUAGGCAAUGAUUGGGUCUAGUUCUUCCUACCUUGGUGAGCGCGUGUCGUACUCAUGGUUCCAGCACGAUCAUCAAUCAGACGUCUCUCGCGACUAACAAGGUUGUGGAAGGUGUCAAAUAAACUAGUGCUCCUAUUAUCCGUCGACCGAAUUCCUCGACGAGACAAGGCACUGUUGGAACUUUUUAAAAUAAGAAUGGGGUCGUUCGACUUCGACUCCCUUGGUCACACAAACAACAAAGAUCUUGCGCUCAAACUGUCAUAUUUUCUUUUUACUGCGAGACAAAGCGUUGCCAGUUCAUCGAAUAGGCUUGCUUUGUUCAGCCAAUUUCUGAAUUAUUCUACCUUUUUGUUUGUGUUUUUAUUAUGAAGUGCCUUGUCAUUCUUUCACAAGCAUUGUGAAAGAAUUUUAAAGCAUAAAAUUCCGGGAGAUAAAUGCCAAUUAAUGUCGUGACGCCGCCAUCUGCAAGGGCAGGAAUGGCGCCAAAUGCUGGCGCGGAAUCUCCCAAUCACCAGAAACUUUUCUGCUCGUUGGUAUGGCGCGAAAAAUUUAAUUUGCUAGAAUCUUUCCUCUAUUCUUCAAGUGGUGUUUUAGUUUACCGCUAGAUGGCGUGGGUGGGUUAAACUAACCUCAUUAUAAAUAGAAAAACAAAAUCAAGGCAGCGGGAAAAAGCGAGGCGGUUCAAAAACGAAAAGAAAAAAGAAACAAGAAGUAAAUAUCGAAUCAAAGGACAUCAACUUUAAAUUAGGAAUUCGAUUAGGUCCACCGAUUUUCUGGAGGGCGAAUAGUAGUCUAGCAACGCAUGUAAACUACGCACAUCAGGUAAUUAUACGCGUCAUUUUCCGUAGCUGAAAGCUUUACUUACAUCACGACUGACGUAUUACUCGUACCAAAGCGUAAUCAACAAAGUUACAAAAAUCAAGUGGGAAUUCACGAAGGUCAUUGAUUUUAGUUGAUGCUUUGAUUUUUUUUGUUUUGAUUUUUUCGGCCACUUUAAACCUGGUUCGCCAAGGCCAGUAAGGAAGAAAGCAUUUCGGCAAGCAAAAGGUCGUUAAAAGGACGUCAUUAUUUAUGCAAUUCUACAAGACAGACGAGAUAGAGAUAGGGCGGAAAGAGAGAGAAAUGGGAGAAAGUGUCGUCACGUGUGUCGUCAUAACCCGGAUCUCGAUCUCAAGUUCAGCGAAAAAUACAAAAAAUAAAAUAAAAAAAAAGAACAACAAAAAAAAAACAAAAAAACAACGACUGCAUGGGACGGAUGGCAUG
RNAcentral lists this long non-coding RNA (2056 nucleotides) under Daphnia magna. Its description in RNAcentral is "uncharacterized LOC116926886". Lineage: Eukaryota; Metazoa; Arthropoda; Branchiopoda; Diplostraca; Daphniidae. The record is from RNAcentral.